GGUCAGCGCCCUGUCAGCAAAAUCUUGCUGG
RNAcentral lists this unclassified non-coding RNA (31 nucleotides) under Mus musculus (house mouse). RNAcentral's name for it is "oocyte_clustered_small_RNA7283". The record is from RNAcentral. Lineage: Eukaryota; Metazoa; Chordata; Mammalia; Rodentia; Muridae.